RNAcentral lists this transfer RNA (71 nucleotides) under marine eukaryotic metagenome. It matches the Rfam family "tRNA". Rfam says of the family: Transfer RNA (tRNA) molecules are approximately 80 nucleotides in length. Their secondary structure includes four short double-helical elements and three loops (D, anti-codon, and T loops). Further hydrogen bonds mediate the characteristic L-shaped molecular structure. tRNAs have two regions of fundamental functional importance: the anti-codon, which is responsible for specific mRNA codon recognition, and the 3' end, to which the tRNAs corresponding amino acid is attached (by aminoacyl-tRNA synthetases). tRNAs cope with the degeneracy of the genetic code in two manners: having more than one tRNA (with a specific anti-codon) for a particular amino acid; and 'wobble' base-pairing, i.e. permitting non-standard base-pairing at the 3rd anti-codon position. The record is from RNAcentral.
GGGGCAUAGCUCAGCUGGUAGAGCGCCUGCUUUGCAAGCAGGAUGUCAGGAGUUCGAGUCUCCUUGCCUCC